CCUACGGGAGGCAGCAGUGGGGAAUAUUGCACAAUGGGGGAAACCCUGAUGCCGCAACGCCGCGUGAAGGAAGACGGUUUUCGGAUUGUAAACUUCUGUUCUUAUUGAAGAAUAAUGACGGUACCGUAAGAAUAAUCCACGGCUAACUAAGUGCCAGCAGCCUCGGUAAUACGUAGGUGGCAAGCGUUAUCCGGAUUUACUGGGUGUAAAGGGCGGGUAGGCGGGAUUGCAAGGCAGAUGUGAAAACUAUGGGCUCAACCGAUAGAGUGCAUUUGAAACUUGAGUUCUUGAGUGAUGGAGAGGCAGGCGGAAUUCCCGGUGUAGCGGUGGAAUGCGUAGAUAUCGGGAGGAACACCAGUGGCGAAGGCGGCCUGCUGGACAUUAACUGACGCUGAGGCGCGAAAGCGUGGGGAGCAAACAGGAUUAGAUACCCCUGUAGUC
RNAcentral lists this ribosomal RNA (441 nucleotides) under uncultured bacterium. RNAcentral's name for it is "partial 16S ribosomal RNA". It matches the Rfam family "Bacterial small subunit ribosomal RNA", at positions 338 to 795 of the family's 1533-position model. The record is from RNAcentral.